Molecule: long non-coding RNA, 1196 nt
Organism: Temnothorax curvispinosus
Lineage: Eukaryota; Metazoa; Arthropoda; Insecta; Hymenoptera; Formicidae
Exons: 2
Source: RefSeq, a predicted model, not a curated record
UUUCAGAUCGUAAGUUUUAAGUGUAAAGAACUGUGUGUUGUACGCUGUCGUUUUGUGAACAUUUUUGCCAGUGACUAUAUAAUCUUUUUGGAGAAGUGCACUUGAACACGGUACAUUUGGACACCGUUCAUUUGGACACAAUCAAUUGAACACCGUUUAUUUGGACACGGUUCAUUUGGACACCGUUCAUUUGGAUACCAUUUAUUUAGACACGGUUCAUUUGGACAUCAUUCAUUUAGACACGGUGCAUUUGGACAACGUUCAUUUGGAACACGGUGCAUUUGAACACCGCUUAUUUGGACACGGUGCAUUCGGACACCGUUCAUUUAGACAUGGUGCAUUUGGACACCGUUCAUUUGAACACGAUCAUUCGGACACGAUCAAUUAGACACGGUUCAUUUGGACACGGUUCAUUUGGACACCAUGUAUUUGGACACGAAUCAUCUGGACACCAUAAAAAAUACGGCCUCUGCAGUUGGACACCGUAAAAAAUGCGGCCUGUGCAGUUGGACACCGAAAUGCGCGACCUAUGCAGUUGGACACCAGAAUACGCGGCCUGUGCAGAUGGACACGAAAAUGCGCGGCCUGUGCAGUUGGACACCGAAAUGUGCGUGCAUGGGGAGGGGGGGUGCAAAGAUGGCGGAACUUUCGCUGACACCUAUUAUAAACUGUAGAACUCUUCGAGAACUAUAGAAUUUGAUGGUAAAAAUCAAUUUUUUUGGAACUUGAGGUGCUCGCGGUCAGAUUAAAAAUUUGUUUAAAAAUACUUGACCGGAACUAUUGCUAAAACCUAUCAGGAACUGUAAACUCUUCGAGAAUAUAAAAUAUCAUGGUUAAAAUUGAUUUUUUCGAAACAUAAGAUGCCAGGGAAGUCAGCAUCUUAUAUUUUCAAAAGUCAUUUUUUUUAACUAAAUCGACGGAACUAUUUCUAAAACCUAUCAGGAACUGUAGAACUAUUGCGGGUGCAAAUGGAACUGUUGAUAAAACUUCCGAUUUUUGAAAGUGAGGUGCCAACUUCACCGAGACCAAUUCCUUGCCUUAGCACAUCAGCAAAUUUGGAAUCUUUAUUAGAAGAUAAUAUUCUGUUUUAUGUAGUUAAAUCUCUACUAGACCCAUAUAAAUUAUAGCCUGUAAAUAAAAUUAACGAACAUUGUAUGACUUCUACGAAUGUAUUAAUAAAUAUUUUUAGAAUUAUA